RNAcentral lists this ribosomal RNA (512 nucleotides) under uncultured microorganism. RNAcentral's name for it is "bacterial SSU rRNA". It matches the Rfam family "Bacterial small subunit ribosomal RNA", at positions 9 to 505 of the family's 1533-position model. The record is from RNAcentral.
GAGUUUGAUCGUGGCUCAGGAUGAACGCUGGCGGCGUGCCUAAUACAUGCAAGUCGAGCGAACGGACGAGAAGCUUGCUUCUCUGAUGUUAGCGGCGGACGGGUGAGUAACACGUGGAUAACCUACCUAUAAGACUGGGAUAACUUCGGGAAACCGGAGCUAAUACCGGAUGAUAUUUUGAACCGCAUGGUUCAAAAGUGAAAGACGGUCUUGCUGUCACUUAUAGAUGGAUCCGCGCUGCAUUAGCUAGUUGGUAAGGUAACGGCUUACCAAGGCAACGAUGCAUAGCCGACCUGAGAGGGUGAUCGGCCACACUGGAACUGAGACACGGUCCAGACUCCUACGGGAGGCAGCAGUAGGGAAUCUUCCGCAAUGGGCGAAAGCCUGACGGAGCAACGCCGCGUGAGUGAUGAAGGUCUUCGGAUCGUAAACUCUGUUAUUAGGAAGAACAUAUGUGUAAGUAACUGUGCACAUCUUGACGGUACCUAAUCAGAAAGCCACGGCUAACUACG